GCUGGGUGCCAUGGUGUGGCCCUGUAGUCCCAGCUACUCAGGAGGCUGAGGUGGGAGGAUCGCUUGAGCCCAGGAGUUCUGGGCUGCAGUGCGCUAUGCUGAUCGGGUGUCCGCACUAAGUUCAGCAUCAAUAUGGUGACCUCCCGGGAGCAGGAGACCACCAGGUUGCCUAAAGAGGGGUGAACUGGCCCAGGUCAGAAAUGGAGCAGGUCAAAACUCUCGUACUGAUCAGUAGUGGGAUCGAGCCUGUGACUAGCCACUGCACUCCAGCCUGGGCAACAUAGUGAGACCCGUCUCUU
Molecule: unclassified non-coding RNA, 299 nt
Organism: Callithrix jacchus (white-tufted-ear marmoset)
Lineage: Eukaryota; Metazoa; Chordata; Mammalia; Primates; Cebidae
Rfam family: Metazoan signal recognition particle RNA
About the family: The signal recognition particle (SRP) is a universally conserved ribonucleoprotein. It is involved in the co-translational targeting of proteins to membranes.
Source: Ensembl